Molecule: non-coding RNA, 238 nt
Filed under: Clostridium disporicum
Lineage: Bacteria; Bacillati; Bacillota; Clostridia; Eubacteriales; Clostridiaceae
Description: T-box sequence
Rfam family: T-box leader
About the family: Uncharged tRNA acts as the effector for transcription antitermination of genes in the T-box leader family. T-boxes are found upstream of many aminoacyl-tRNA synthetase genes and some amino acid biosynthetic genes usually in Gram-positive bacteria. The anticodon of a specific tRNA base pairs to a specifier sequence within the T-box motif, and the NCCA acceptor tail of the tRNA base pairs to a conserved bulge in the T-box antiterminator hairpin.
Source: RNAcentral
AUAAAUGCAUAGAAAAGAAGAGUAGUUUAGGAAUAUGUCUAAAGAGAGCUAGGAUUUGGUGAAAGCUAGCGUCAUUGAACUUUAUGAAGAUGGUCUUGGAGCAGAUUAUCUGAGUCUUAUGAUUAGGAUAAUACGGUAGCAACCGUUAUAUUGCACGGUGAUGAUAGUAACCUAGUGAGAUAUUUAUUGUGAGAUAAAUGUAAAAAUAGAGUGGUAACGCGUAUAUAACGCCUCUAUA